GACCUCGGAUCAGGUAGGGAUACCCGCUGAACUUAAGCAUAUCUAAGGGCGG
This 52-nucleotide ribosomal RNA is filed under the name Bipolaris sorokiniana. RNAcentral describes it as "partial 28S ribosomal RNA". Lineage: Eukaryota; Fungi; Ascomycota; Dothideomycetes; Pleosporales; Pleosporaceae. The record is from RNAcentral.